Long non-coding RNA from Anguilla anguilla (European eel), 984 nucleotides. RefSeq lists it as uncharacterized. Lineage: Eukaryota; Metazoa; Chordata; Actinopteri; Anguilliformes; Anguillidae. The transcript is spliced from 5 exons. The record is from RefSeq and is a predicted model, not a curated record.
GGAUUUUUUUUUUUGCCAAUCAACGGCUUAAAUGAACCACUGGUGCUAACAGCCAUCAGCACCAACCAUCAGCAGACACUGCGGCUCCUCCAGGACUGGGGUUUGACACCUGUGAGCUAAAGUCUCCUUCAGCGUCUCUGUAUGUGUACAAACUGCUGUGGAUUAAAGGCUGCAAACCAAAGGAAAUAUUUAUGGGAUCCUGGCUGAGGACUGAGCCUAAUCAGGAAUCAAAUAUUCUUUUAAAAAUACAAAAAAUCAAAAUUGUGCGGAAGGGAACGAAAAAUUCUGCGUCUACAUUCUGUGACAGACUGUUUAUUCCCAUUACUCCCUCUUCCCCUGCCACCUCACCUCCCCACACAUCCCCAACAGAUUGAGCAAAUUGGCGACCUGAGAGAAUCACCUAAAGCAGGGGUGUCAAGCUGAAUACUCAAAGGGCUGCAGUGUCUACAGGUUUUUGUGGUUUCCUUUCCAUCAGCUGCCAAUUCAGGCCUUGAGAACAAGGUGUGUGGAUUUUUAUUUUGCCAAUCAACGGCUUAAAUGAACCACUGGUGCUAACAGCCAUCAGCACCAACCAUCAGCAGACACUGCGGCUCCUCCAGGACUGGGGUUUGACACCUGUGAGCUAAAGUCUCCUUCAGCGUCUCUGUAUGUGUACAAACUGCUGUGGAUUAAAGGCUGCAAACCAAAGGAAAUAUUUAUGGGAUCCUGGCUGAGGACUGAGCCUAAUCAGGAGUCAAAUAUUUUUUUUUUAAAUACAAAAAAUCUAAAUUGUGCGGAAGGGAAAGAAAAAUUCUGCGUCUACAUUCUGUGACAGACUGUUUAUUCCCAUUACUCCCUCUUCCCCUGCCACCUCACCUCCCCACACAUCCCCAACAGAUUGAGCAAAUUGGCGACCUGAGAGAAUCACCUAAAGCAGGGGUGUCAAGCUGAAUACUCAAAGGGCUGCAGUGUCUACAGGUUUUUGUGGUUUCCUUUCCAUGAGCU